RNAcentral lists this ribosomal RNA (433 nucleotides) under uncultured bacterium. Its description in RNAcentral is "partial 16S ribosomal RNA". It matches the Rfam family "Bacterial small subunit ribosomal RNA", at positions 29 to 507 of the family's 1533-position model. The record is from RNAcentral.
AACGAACGCUGGCGGCAUGCCUAACACAUGCAAGUCGAACGAGACCUUCGGGUCUAGUGGCGCACGGGUGCGUAACGCGUGGGAAUCUGCCCUUGGGUUCGGAAUAACAGUUGGAAACGACUGCUAAUACCGGAUGAUGACGUAAGUCCAAAGAUUUAUCGCCCAAGGAUGAGCCCGCGUAGGAUUAGCUAGUUGGUGAGGUAAAGGCUCACCAAGGCGACGAUCCUUAGCUGGUCUGAGAGGAUGAUCAGCCACACUGGGACUGAGACACGGCCCAGACUCCUACGGGAGGCAGCAGUGGGGAAUAUUGGACAAUGGGCGAAAGCCUGAUCCAGCAAUGCCGCGUGAGUGAUGAAGGCCUUAGGGUUGUAAAGCUCUUUUACCCGGGAUGAUUAUGACAGUACCGGGAGAAUAAGCUCCGGCUAACUCCGUG